CCUACGGGAGGCAGCAGUGGGGAAUUUUCCGCAAUGGGCGAAAGCCUGACGGAGCAAUACCGCGUGAGGGAUGAAAGCCUGUGGGUUGUAAACCUCUUUUCUCAAGGAAGAAGUUCUGACGGUACUUGAGGAAUAAGCAUCGGCUAACUCUGUGCCAGCAGCCGCGGUAAUACAGAGGAUGCAAGCGUUAUCCGGAAUCACUGGGCAUAAAGCGUCUGUAGGUUGCCUACCAAGUCUGCUGUUAAAGAUCGGGGCCUAACCCUGAGAAAGCAGUGGAAACUAGUAGGCUUGAGUGUGGUAGAGGUAGAGGGAAUUCCUGGUGUAGCGGUGAAAUGCGUAGAUAUUAGGAAGAACACCAACGGCGAAAGCACUCUACUGGGCCAUAACUGACACUGAGAGACGACAGCUAGGGGAGCAAAUGGGAUUAGAUACCCCAGUAGCCCUAGCCGUAAACGAUGGAUACUAGGUGUUGCACGUAUUAACCCGUGCAGUAUCGUAGCUAAGGCGUUAAGUAUCCGCCUGGGAAGUACGCUCGCAAGAGUGAAACUCAAAGGAAUUGACGG
RNAcentral lists this ribosomal RNA (563 nucleotides) under uncultured bacterium. Its description in RNAcentral is "bacterial SSU rRNA". It matches the Rfam family "Bacterial small subunit ribosomal RNA", at positions 338 to 916 of the family's 1533-position model. The record is from RNAcentral.